RNAcentral lists this ribosomal RNA (1107 nucleotides) under Salmonella enterica subsp. enterica serovar Coeln. Its description in RNAcentral is "partial 23S ribosomal RNA". It matches the Rfam family "Bacterial large subunit ribosomal RNA", at positions 711 to 1733 of the family's 2925-position model. Lineage: Bacteria; Pseudomonadati; Pseudomonadota; Gammaproteobacteria; Enterobacterales; Enterobacteriaceae. The record is from RNAcentral.
AGACCCGAAACCCGGUGAUCUAGCCAUGGGCAGGUUGAAGGUUGGGUAACACUAACUGGAGGACCGAACCGACUAAUGUUGAAAAAUUAGCGGAUGACCUGUGGCUGGGGGUGAAAGGCCAAUCAAACCGGGAGAUAGCUGGUUCUCCCCGAAAGCUAUUUAGGUAGCGCCUCGUGAAUUCAUCUCCGGGGGUAGAGCACUGUUUCGGCUAGGGGGCCAUCCCGGCUUACCAACCCGAUGCAAACUGCGAAUACCGGAGAAUGUUAUCACGGGAGACACACGGCGGGUGCUAACGUCCGUCGUGAAGAGGGAAACAACCCAGACCGCCAGCUAAGGUCCCAAAGUCAUGGUUAAGUGGGAAACGAUGUGGGAAGGCCCAGACAGCCAGGAUGUUGGCUUAGAAGCAGCCAUCAUUUAAAGAAAGCGUAAUAGCUCACUGGUCGAGUCGGCCUGCGCGGAAGAUGUAACGGGGCUAAACCAUGCACCGAAGCUGCGGCAGCGAACGUAUCACCCAAGACAACUUUACGGAGUUGACGAUUGACGGAGCGAAGCGACGUCAAAGCGUUCAUUAAAGUCGAGUUGGCUUAGGGAUACGUUCGUUGGGUAGGGGAGCGUUCUGUAAGCCUGUGAAGGUGUGUCGUGAGGCAUGCUGGAGGUAUCAGAAGUGCGAAUGCUGACAUAAGUAACGAUAAAGCGGGUGAAAAGCCCGCUCGCCGGAAGACCAAGGGUUCCUGUCCAACGUUAAUCGGGGCAGGGUGAGUCGACCCCUAAGGCGAGGCCGAAAGGCGUAGUCGAUGGGAAACGGGUUAAUAUUCCCGUACUUGGUGUUACUGCGAAGGGGGGACGGAGAAGGCUAUGUUGGCCGGGCGACGGUUGUCCCGGUUUAAGCGUGUAGGCUGGUUUUCCAGGCAAAUCCGGAAAAUCAAGGCUGAGGCGUGACGACGAGGCACUACGGUGCUGAAGCAACAAAUGCCCUGCUUCCAGGAAAAGCCUCUAAGCAUCAGGUAACAUCAAAUCGUACCCCAAACCGACACAGGUGGUCAGGUAGAGAAUACCAAGGCGCUUGAGAGAACUCGGGUGAAGGAACUAGGCAAAAUGGUGCCGUAA